CAAUAGCGUAUAUUAAAGUUGUUGCAGUUAAAAAGCUCGUAGUUGAAUUUCGGGUGCUCGUAGUCGGUCCUUCAUUGGGCUGGCGCGUGUGCUCUCCCCGCCUUUGGCGGCCUUUACUGUGAAAAAAUUAGAGUGUUCAAAGCAGGCAAUCGCUUGAAUACAUUAGCAUGGAAUAAUAAGAUAGGAUCUUGUCUAUUUUGUUGGUUGCGGACAAAGAUAAUGAUUAAUAGGGAUAGUUGGGGGUGUCCGUAUUGAGCUGUCAGAGGUGAAAUUCUUGGAUUUGCUCAAGACGAACUGCUGCGAAAGCGUUCACCAAGGAUGUUUUCAUUAG
This 331-nucleotide ribosomal RNA is filed under the name uncultured eukaryote. Its description in RNAcentral is "partial 18S ribosomal RNA". It matches the Rfam family "Eukaryotic small subunit ribosomal RNA", at positions 592 to 976 of the family's 1831-position model. The record is from RNAcentral.